Molecule: non-coding RNA, 73 nt
Organism: Potamilus streckersoni
Lineage: Eukaryota; Metazoa; Mollusca; Bivalvia; Unionida; Unionidae
Source: the annotation of a GenBank genome assembly
GCUCCGGUGGCCUAGUGGUUAGAAAGUUCGCCUCGGAUGCGAGAGGUCCUUGGUUCGAUCCCCGAUCGAGUCA